GUGCACGCUGGCGGUCGGCCUAACCCCUGCACGUCGAACGGCAGCACAGUAAGAGCUUGCUCUUACGGGUGGCGAGUGGCGGACGGGUGAGGAAUACAUCGGAAUCUACUUUUUUGGGGGGGGUAAAGGAGGGAAACUUACGCUAAUACCGCAUACGACCUACGGGUGAAAACAGGGGGUCUUCGGACCUUGCGCGGUUGAAUGAAGCGAUGGCGGAUUAGCUAGUUGGCGGGGGAAAGGCCCACCAAGGCGACGAUCCGUAGCUGGUCUGAGAGGAUGAUCAGCCACACUGGAACUGAGACACGGUCCAGACUCCUACGGGAGGCAGCAGUGGGGAAUAUUGGGCAAUGGGCGCAAGCCUGAUCCAGCCAUACCGCGUGGGUGAAGAAGGCCUUCGGGUUGUAAAGCCCUUUUGUUGGGAAAGAAAAGCAGCAGGUUAAUACCCCGCUGUUCUGACGGUACCCAAAGAAUAAGCACCGGCUAACUUCGUG
RNAcentral lists this ribosomal RNA (491 nucleotides) under uncultured bacterium. RNAcentral's name for it is "partial 16S ribosomal RNA". It matches the Rfam family "Bacterial small subunit ribosomal RNA", at positions 29 to 507 of the family's 1533-position model. The record is from RNAcentral.